Molecule: ribosomal RNA, 253 nt
Filed under: uncultured bacterium
Lineage: Bacteria
Description: partial 16S ribosomal RNA
Rfam family: Bacterial small subunit ribosomal RNA
Source: RNAcentral
UACAGAGGUCCCAAGCGUUGUUCGGAUUCAUUGGGCGUAAAGGGUGCGUAGGCGGUUGCCUAAGUCAGGUGUGAAAUCUCGAGGCUCAACCUCGAAACUGCACUUGAUACUGGGUAACUUGAGUACUGGAGGGGAGACUGGAAUUUACGGUGUAGCAGUGAAAUGCGUAGAUAUCGUAAGGAAGACCAGUGGCGAAGGCGAGUCUCUGGACAGUUACUGACGCUGAGGCACGAAGGCUAGGGGAGCAAACGGG